GAGGGUAUAGCUCAAGCGGUAGAGCACAUGCUUAGCAUGCAUGAGGUCCUGGGUUCAAUCUCCAGUACCUCCU
This 73-nucleotide transfer RNA is filed under the name Camelus bactrianus (Bactrian camel). It matches the Rfam family "tRNA". From Rfam's summary of the family: Transfer RNA (tRNA) molecules are approximately 80 nucleotides in length. Lineage: Eukaryota; Metazoa; Chordata; Mammalia; Artiodactyla; Camelidae. The record is from Rfam by way of RNAcentral. RNAcentral also lists the same sequence under 2 other names.